This 69-nucleotide transfer RNA is filed under the name Anolis cybotes (large-headed anole). Its description in RNAcentral is "tRNA-Ala". The record is from RNAcentral. Lineage: Eukaryota; Metazoa; Chordata; Lepidosauria; Squamata; Anolidae.
UAAAACUUGCAUUAUACUAUAAUGCAUCUCCUGAAUGCAACUCAAGCACUUUAAUUAAGCUAAAGCUUU